Bombus pyrosoma is the source of this 866-nucleotide long non-coding RNA. RefSeq lists it as uncharacterized. Lineage: Eukaryota; Metazoa; Arthropoda; Insecta; Hymenoptera; Apidae. The transcript is spliced from 3 exons. The record is from RefSeq and is a predicted model, not a curated record.
ACGAAUGGGAUAAUAAUUGAAAUUAGGAGGCGGCGGGGAGGCUAAUACACCGACAAGUCCGACGAGCUGGCAAUUAAAUCCUGACGUAUCGCUAUCGCGGUCUCCGCCUUAAGCCAAUUUUCCAAUGAUGGAAUGCGAUUCUUCCGUCGGCGCGUCGCUUUGUUAACCCUGCCUACCCACUAAAUUGCCGUCAGCAAUCACGUGACUCUUGAAUCGUAUAUCUUCCUCUUCGUUGGUGAUUCUAGGCAGUGCGACAACAGGCGGACGAAGAAAUUCGUGGCCGAAAAGUUUGAAAGAUAUGGCGAAAAGUUGUUUCGAACGGGUUAACAACGUUGGAAAAUAUCGAGCGAGUUCGUUCUUUCAAUUAGCCGCUGUUUCUGUCAUCGGCUGUGUUGCGCGCCAUUCGUCGUUUCUACUAUCGAGAGGUAAAAGUGUCGUUACGAGAGGCGGUACGAUACAGAGCUCGAGGACGAUCUACGAGGAUGAACGAUCCCGUUGAUACACAAACGAUUCCUUAGACACGCGACAACGUAUCUCGCCUCCGCAACGUCUCGUGACCUACUCCUCGACUAGCUUCGCGGGCAUCAGCCUCUUGGGAGUUUUGCUACCGAUUACAGAACGUGCCCCUCCACGCUCUCUCAAGAUCAUCCUGUCACUUUGUCCACGGAACGUGAAUCGCAAUACCAAAGGAAUUCGACGCUCCGGCCGUUACUACGAGGAUGAACCUGUACGAGACGCGUUUGCAGCCGUACUUUUCUUAACGUCUUCAUCCUGAAUCGUGUCACCGACGGAGGGUACCAUCCUGCGAGGUCAAAGCUCGAAGCGUGGAUCGACGAACAGGGUGGAGGCGCGAUAAACAUAAAGAA